This is a long non-coding RNA of Chlorocebus sabaeus (green monkey), 941 nucleotides long. RefSeq lists it as uncharacterized. The record is from RefSeq and is a predicted model, not a curated record. Lineage: Eukaryota; Metazoa; Chordata; Mammalia; Primates; Cercopithecidae.
UGGAGAACGCUUCCUCCCAGCCUCACACGUGGCCGGCCUCCACGGGAGGGACGGGAGCGAGGUUCUUACCAGGAUUUCGCCCAGCUCGUCCUCAUCGCAGUCAGCAGGCUCCUUCCCCAGGCGUGCUCUGGUUGGCUAGCACAGAGACACAGACGUGUCACAAGAAGGAGCCUCGUGUGUGGGACAAGGUGACAGCAGUGCGUCCACCCCGUGUGAGCUAGAGGAAGGUGCUGCCAAGAGCUCAUGCUUUCUCCUUGGGAAGACCCUGGCAGCCUCUGAUCUGGAGACAAACGACCGUGUGCAUGGCCUCCUCACUUUCCCACCUGUCCUGUCUCUUGGGCACUGCUUUACAGUCCUCAGCCAUGACCCCUGGGUGACCCCUGGACGACCUGCCCCCGCCGCACAGCCAUGACCCCUGGGUGACCCCUGGACGACCUGCCCCUGCCGCACAGCCAUGACCCCUGGGCGACCCCUGGACGACCUGCCCCCGCCGCACCAGGAUGAGCUGGAUCUCGUCCCUGUCGCACUUCACGUGGUGGCGACCCCCACGAUCUCCUCCUUCUUGUUGACAAUGGGCAUGGAUAGCACAUUCUUGAUGAGCCACCCGGAGUCAUCCAGGGCCCCUUCCUGCGGGAGCGGUGUCCAGAGCUGAGCUCCGCCCUGAGGCUGGCCCUGACCCAGUGUGGCCGGGGAGAGUGACCUCACGUCUUCUCCCCUAGAGCCGUGACAACUGGACUCUCAUUCCUGUCUCUGCUCUCUGCAUUCCCUCUCUCCCGCUCUCCCUCUUUGCAUUUGGAGUUUAUGUCCAUGGUUUUUGUGUCAUGAUAUUUUCCCACUGGAGGAGGUAGAGGCCGUUUUCCCACCAGGGGUGGUUUCACGGAUGUGUGUGGGGGGGCUGCGGUCACGGCCUCAGGGGCGUGUGUGGGGGCUGCGGUCACGGU